Molecule: ribosomal RNA, 339 nt
Filed under: Hyperolius cinnamomeoventris (cinnamon-bellied reed frog)
Lineage: Eukaryota; Metazoa; Chordata; Amphibia; Anura; Hyperoliidae
Description: partial 12S ribosomal RNA
Rfam family: Bacterial small subunit ribosomal RNA
Source: RNAcentral
AACGCCGGGGACUACAAGCCUAGCUUGAAACCCAAAGGAUUUGACGGUGUCCCACCCACCUAGAGGAGCCUGUCCCAUAAUCGAUAACCCCCGCUUUACCCCACCACUUCUUACUCAGCCUAUAUAUCGCCGUCGUAAGCCCACCAUGCGAAUGCAAGUGGGCUAAAUGGCUUUUACUCCUAUACGUCAGGUCAAGGUGUAGCUCAUGAAGUGGAGCGAGAUGGGCUACAAUUUCUAAGAUAGAACAAACGGAAAACUUAGUGAAACUAAUAAUUGAAGGUGGAUUUAGUAGUAAAAAAGAGACAGAGUGCUCUUUUAAACUUGCACUGGGACGUGUAC